Molecule: long non-coding RNA, 774 nt
Organism: Pseudophryne corroboree (corroboree frog)
Lineage: Eukaryota; Metazoa; Chordata; Amphibia; Anura; Myobatrachidae
Exons: 3
Source: RefSeq, a predicted model, not a curated record
GGGGGGCCCCUAGGGGGUCACGCGCCCCGGGCGCUGGAACGAGGGGGCGCUAGGGAGGCUGUUCCCGCAGCCAAACAGGAGGGCACCGCGCACGAUGCUGUCACGCAUCGAGGGAGGAGAGGGAGAGAGGACGGAGAGUCUGGCAGCGGCUGGCAGGGACUGAUGAGGGCAUGCUGGCUGCAGUCAGUGACAGUGAAUGAGUCACUGUCACUCAGGCUGCAGCACUGCAGGCUGCUCUGACAGGGGAACUUUCACGGCAGUCUCCGGCAGCCCUGAGCAGUGCACACAGCCCUCCUCCAUGCCUGGGAACAGGGGGAGGGACACAGUGCAGCAGCGUGGACUCUGAACGAGGGGGAACUGGAGCCGACCUGUUACAGAGAGAGGAGAUUUACGAGAUGGCACAGUGAAGGAAACACAUAUAGAGGAGCGAUGGGACGGCGGUCAUGUGACAGGCAAGGAGACAGGCUGACAGUAAGGUCUGCUGCUAAUGAAAUACAACUUCUAUCACUCGGGGUCCAGCCACGCUCAUAUAUAGUGGGAAUUACAAUUGAGCGACAGCCGCAGCGUUGAAUCCUGCACACUCCCACUUUUUGAUAAAACAAAGAAAAUAAUUUUCCCCAAGGAACUUGCAUUUUUUUUCUCCCCCCUCUCUUUCAAAGCAAAAUACUAUUACUUUGCUGUUCUUGAAUUGUUUCAGUCACUUCUGGCAAACAGAAAGAUAAUGACGAUAAACACUUAUGAAUGCUGCAAAAAAAAUAAUAAUAAAUUCUAUGA